AACGAACGCUGGCGGCAGGCUUAACACAUGCAAGUCGAACGCUGUAGCAAUACAGAGUGGCGCACGGGUGAGUAAUACUUGGGAAUAUGCCUUUUAGUUGGGAAUAACCACUGGAAACGGUGGCUAAUACCCGAUACGCCCUCCGGGGGAAAGAUUUAUCGCUAAAAGAUUAGCCCAGGCCAGAUUAUGGUAGUUGGUGAGGUAAUGGCUCACCAAGCCUACGAUCUGUAGCUGGUCUGAGAGGACGACCAGCCACACUGGAACUGAGACACGGUCCAGACUCCUACGGGAGGCAGCAGUGGGGAAUAUUGGACAAUGGGCGAAAGCCUGAUCCAGCCAUGCCGCGUGAGUGAUGAAGGCCUUAGGGUUGUAAGCUCUUUGUCUAGGGAAGAUGAUGACGGUACCCGCCGAAUAAGCUCCGGCUAACUUCGUGCCAGCAGCCGCGGUAAU
RNAcentral lists this ribosomal RNA (450 nucleotides) under uncultured bacterium. Its description in RNAcentral is "bacterial SSU rRNA". It matches the Rfam family "Bacterial small subunit ribosomal RNA", at positions 29 to 524 of the family's 1533-position model. The record is from RNAcentral.